Molecule: long non-coding RNA, 405 nt
Filed under: Numida meleagris (helmeted guineafowl)
Lineage: Eukaryota; Metazoa; Chordata; Aves; Galliformes; Numididae
Description: lncRNA (ENSNMEG00000013353.1)
Source: RNAcentral
CUCAUAAAAAUAAAAGUGUUUGCUGCUUGAGCUGAAUCCCUUCCCAACACUAAAAAAUCAUCCGUAUGUAUCAGUUCUUCUGUUUUCUUCCCCAGGCUUUCCAACAGAUAUUCUUGGAGGAGUCAGCCAUGGCUAGGUUUAUAAAAAUGAACAGGAACAGGGAUAUGGCAGAGUAAAGAGGUUUAUUUCUCAGUAUGCUGUUGCCCCAUCUGAGAGAUGAGAGUAAUAUUCACUCGAAUGGGAGGUGUGAGGGUUGCAAACCUCAGGCCUGACACAGCCCUGAUGGCAUGAGGCAGCUAAUGAUGGUCUCCCCUCUGCUUGGUGAUGGUGUCUGGACAUGGUGAUGCUGUGGGGAGGACCUUUUGAUGUGAGGGUGAACCCCAGGAGCAACAGCCAAGAGAGAAC